RNA transcript from Alnus glutinosa, 1528 nucleotides. It is a transcript of the gene named CAX-interacting protein 4-like, with no coding region annotated. The transcript is spliced from 4 exons. Lineage: Eukaryota; Viridiplantae; Streptophyta; Magnoliopsida; Fagales; Betulaceae. The record is from RefSeq and is a predicted model, not a curated record.
CCAGUUUGGCCCAUUCAAAGCACCUUUUCAUGAUCCCAUCGGUUUAGUCCGGAAAACGUAAGUCUAUCCACCUCCGCUCCUUGCCUCCGCAUCGCCUUUGUCACCUCCGCCGCUCUGCUGUCUCUGCUCCAUCUACUUCCUCUGUUGCUUCUUACUGAAGAGUUUGAUAUUUAAACUUCAAGAUGCCGGCUACAGCGGGUAGGGUUCGCAUGCCUGCAAACAAUCGGGUGCAUAGUAGUGCAGCCCUCCAAACCCACGGUAUAUGGCAGAGUGCGAUCGGCUAUGAUCCCUAUGCACCCAAUAAGGAUGAUGCCCAGAACUCUUCAAAUCCCAAUGCAUCUAAUGCUGAACCAGAUGCUGAGAAUGCCUAUGCAAGCUUCCAGGGCCUCCUUGCACUUGCCCGUAUAACUGGGUCAAAUGCCAAUGAGACUCGUGGCGUGUGCAAGAAGUGUGGCCGUGUUGGACACCUCACAUUUCAGUGUAGGAACUUUUUGAGUGUUAAGGAUGAUAGUAAGGAUAAAGACCCAGAAGCGAUUGAGGCUGCUGCAAUGGCUGAGUUGGAGAAGUUGAAGGGGAAUGUGGGUAGGGUGAAAGGAAAAAGCGCGGCCGAGAGUGAUGAAGAGGAUGAGAGUGAGGAUUCGGAUUCAGAUGUCGAUUCAGAGAUUGAGAAGAUUAUCGCAAAGAGAAAUGGGAAAAAAAUUAGUAAGGAAAGGUCAAUGAAAAAGGAGUUAGAUGAAGAUGAGCCAGAUAGGGCUUCUAGGGAGAGGAAGAGUAGAGGGAGAUCUAAGAAGAGGAGUGGGAAGAGAGGAAGCGGUGAUUCAGAUGAUUCGGAUGAUUCCGAUAAAAGUAGGAAGAGGAGAAAGAAGGAUAGGCAGAGAAAAAGGAAUGAGUCCUCGGAUGAGGAUAAUGAGCGUCGUCGACGGCACAGAAAGAGUAGGAAGGAGAAGAGGAGGAGGAGAAGCCACCGAGAUUCUGAUUCUGAUUCAGAUGCAUCUGAGGAUUCUGCUAGAGAGCGUAAGCACAAGAGCAGGAGGGCAGCUUCACCAUCUGAUUCUGAUGCCUCAGAUGAUUUGAGGGUCAGUAGGAGCAAGAAGAGAUAUGAGAAGAAGAACAGGAAACGCCAGCAUGAUUAGGAUGUUUAGAAUGCAUUUAGUGAAAGAUGAUGCUGUCAGAUGUUUAUUAUGCGAUAGAAAUGCAGGAUAAUGGAUAUGACGAUCUCUCAUAAAGUUACCAAACCAGUGAUGGAACCCAAAUGGUGUACAAAACAAAUUUGUACCUGCUUGUUUGUGUACGUGGAUUAUUUGGAGGUUUCACUUGUUUAAUUUGUGUGAUUUUUCUUUUUCUUGGCGUUUAAUUUGUAUGCUGCAUUUGUGUAUUGAUGUGCCUUGACAUGUUCACCUACUGUUUUGGAGGUGUCUUCCAAUUGGUAUACUCUACUCUACAAAGACUAUAUGGCAGUUUGACUGUAUAUUUGCUGUGAUUGGAUCUUGUUAUUUUUAUCAAAAUUGAGUUGUAAAUUAUUUUUUAA